UACGGAGGGCGCAAGCGUUGUUCGGAAUUACUGGGCGUAAAGCGCGUGUAGGCGGCUUGGAAAGUCGGGUGUGAAAGCCCGGGGCUCAACUCCGGAACUGCAUCCGAUACUGCCAAGCUCGAGUGCCGGAGAGGAUGGCGGAAUUUCCGGUGUAGAGGUGAAAUUCGUAGAUAUCGGAAGGAACACCAGAGGCGAAGGCGGCGCACUGGACUGUGACUGACGCUGAGACCCGAAAGCGUGGGGAGCAAACAGG
This 253-nucleotide ribosomal RNA is filed under the name uncultured bacterium. RNAcentral describes it as "partial 16S ribosomal RNA". It matches the Rfam family "Bacterial small subunit ribosomal RNA", at positions 524 to 776 of the family's 1533-position model. The record is from RNAcentral.